This 658-nucleotide unclassified non-coding RNA is filed under the name Amynthas hupeiensis. RNAcentral's name for it is "partial contains 12S ribosomal RNA, tRNA-Val, and 16S ribosomal RNA". The stretch from base 1 to 343 matches the Rfam family "Bacterial small subunit ribosomal RNA", at positions 953 to 1533 of the family's 1533-position model. The record is from RNAcentral. Lineage: Eukaryota; Metazoa; Annelida; Clitellata; Crassiclitellata; Megascolecidae.
GAUAAUCCACGUUUACCCAACCCUCCCUAGAAUUGCAGCAUGUGUACUGCCGUUGUAAGCAUACCUCUAAAAGAAUAAGUAUGCUACUAUGACUAUUACUAGCCCAUAUACAUCAGGUCAAAGUGCAGCUAAUGAGGGGGUGAUGAUGGGUUACAACCCUAAAAAAGACUAUCAAGUAAGAGAUUAAAAAUCUUAUAAAAGUGGACUUGGCUGUAAUCAACUUAUAAAUAAAAAAAGUGAACACAUCUCUAAGACAUGCACACAUCGCCCGUCACUCUAUCCUAAAGGAUAGAUAAGUCGUAACAAAGUAGGUGUAAUGGAAAUUGCGCCUGUCAAGGUAUAGCAUAUAAAAUGCUUCUUAUUUACACUAAGAAUAAAGUUAAAGACUUACUUUGCUCAUAUAAUAAAAUCUCCCAAUAUUAAGUAAUAAAAACAAUUAAAUAAAUUAUAAUUAAAAGUACAGAAAUGGAACCCCAAUAAAUAAGAGUAGAUUUUUUAACUGUACUUGUGCAGAUGGUGUUACACAAAAUAAUUUUAAUAUUAAUCCCAUUCUAUAUGGGAUGAUGUACUACUGCUGAGAGCCCCUUAAUAGCUGUAGUAAAAGCUGUAAAAGAUAGUUUAGCAGAGGCUAGCAUACAUCCAAGUAAGAAUAUAGCUG